UCUACUCAAGCAGAUAGAAAAACCUGAAUAAAAGAAACUGUUUCUUAUAUAUCAUGUAUAUCAGAGGUUUGGGUAUAAUAGAUACAUGAAAGCAUUUUUAAUGAAAAGUAAUGACAAAUACAUCCAAACAAAAUACCUUCAUGAGAUAGUGAAUAAUAAAUUAAAGAUAACGAUAAUCAUCCUUAAAGUAUGAGGGUUGAAAUUCAUUGGUCUUUAAGACCAUUUCCAUGUGCCCAUAUAAUCUCAGUAGGAGUAUAUUUAACUUUCAAAACUAAUUCUAAGUAGCAUACCAUAACACUUAAAUAGAGUUCACAAAAAGGAGUACUCUCUAAAUUUAUAUGGAAAGUAAUGCUAGAACACCUUAGGAUUUAACACUUACUAGAAGUCAGAUUUAGCUUUAUUAUGUGUAAAUGAACAACAAAAAAAUCUCCUCAAAAACAACAACAAUCCCCCCCCCCCCCCACAUCUAGCAUUUGGCUUACGGACUCAUUCAUUCCUUUAUUAUUAUUAUUAUUAUUAUUUUUUGUUCAUCUAAAAAAAUACUUGUUGAACAUUGACUAUAUGAAAGCCAGUGAACUUGGAACUAGGGAUAUGAUGACAAACUGUUUCCUGGGCCAUACUGAAUCUGGGAAAAAUUAAAGUAUUAACGUUUCUAACAUGGAGGGAAAAUAUAUUUGUAUUACAGAGAAAGACAAGAGAAUAUGGACUUAUUUGGGAAGAUGGAUGACAUAUUAUACAAUUUUAUGAAUUCCUCAAAAAGGUUAAACAUCCACUAUGUGCCAUGGACUAUGUUAAGUGGGACCAUUAAAGCAGAGACAAUUUGUCCCCAGUAAGGAGCACAGUACUUGACACAUGGAGUUGGCACAUGUGUUUAAAAGACCCUUAGAAAGCACUCGGGCAUGAAGAAUGGAGUGGCAUACUAUGAACCAGCAGUAAUAAUUGGUGUCCAGAUGGAUAUGUGAAUCUGCAAAAAAAAAGUCAAUAGUGAUUGAUAUUCAUUAUUUUAGCUCUGUAAAGGCAAAAAUUUUCAGUUAAUUGUUGUGGCAUUUAAAACUAU
Molecule: long non-coding RNA, 1057 nt
Filed under: Felis catus (domestic cat)
Lineage: Eukaryota; Metazoa; Chordata; Mammalia; Carnivora; Felidae
Description: lncRNA (ENSFCAG00000041766.2)
Source: RNAcentral